Benincasa hispida (wax gourd) is the source of this 1141-nucleotide long non-coding RNA. RefSeq lists it as uncharacterized. NCBI's taxonomy places the organism in Eukaryota, Viridiplantae, Streptophyta, Magnoliopsida, Cucurbitales, Cucurbitaceae. The record is from RefSeq and is a predicted model, not a curated record.
UUCCUUAAAACUUAUCACUGUCUCAGAAAAAAAAAAAGCUUAUUCUCUUCUUCCAAUCCCUUCACGUGUAGUCACUCAACAUUUCUCCUUCUCUCCAUUCUUCACCAUCUCUGUUCAAGCGCCGUCUAUCUCCAUUCACCAGCGUCGUGGAUCUCCAUUGACCGUUGAGCGUUCGUUCAAGCAUCUAUCUCAUUUGAGAAUUUGUUCAUUUGUUCGUCAUGGAUCUCCCUUCAAGUGUUUGUUCCAACUCAGUCGAUCGUCGAGCUCCACCGGCCUUCACCAACAGGGUCCUGCAGCAGAUAAAGGUUUCACAGUUCAGGAUUGUAAGAGUAUUUAGCAGCAGAAGCCGAAUCCCUUCAAACACCAAACAACAAGGACCCAAGCCUUUCGGCAAGCACCAGUAGUUUUCUUAGAUAGUAACUAUAUGACCCUCCAAGCAGACAACUAGUUCUCGAUCUUCAGACUUUGAAGCACUCUAUGUACAUAUUAAGUAAUGUAAUUUUGUUGAUAGGUUACUUGUUAUUAAACAAUGUCAUUUUCUUUGUUGUGUUGCUAGAGUGAAUUAGUUAAUCUUAGUGUUUACUAAAAGUUGAGUUGUGCAUAUAAAGAGAAUAGUUGAGAUUUUAUUUUGCUCAUGUACAUGGGAAAAUAAUGUUGUAAUUUCGGAAAUUGUUCUUAUGAAAGAUGAUAGUUGAAUAUAUGGAUUUUUUUAGUCAAUAUUUUGAGUUGAUAGAUGCUAAAUAUGUAAUAUUUAUUUAGUUGAUGAAAUUAUAUCAUAGGAAUUCAAGGAAGGAAAUGAGAAUAUCAAUUGGGGUAUUUAAUUUGAAAAAAAAAAAGACAUACAUGAUAUUGGAAUUAUGUCAAGAACUAAAUAACUUAUAAAUUAUUAAGUGUCAAAAUGAACACAAAAAAAGGAACGUAGAGAUAGAGAAGAUCGACACACAGAUAUACGUGUAGCUACGUCUACGGGUAGAGGGAGAAUAAUAUUAUUUGAGAGAAUGUUUUUCAGAAAUUACAUCAAAACAGUGCCUCUCCAAUCGUAAAUUACUACAAAUAAAUAAAUAUGCUGAACACGAAGUGCCAACAACAGAUUCAAGGCAUUUUAACAAUAACAAUAUAGUUACAAAUAAAAAACAUCAAG